RNAcentral lists this ribosomal RNA (465 nucleotides) under uncultured eukaryote. RNAcentral describes it as "SSU rRNA". It matches the Rfam family "Eukaryotic small subunit ribosomal RNA", at positions 346 to 833 of the family's 1831-position model. The record is from RNAcentral.
AUGGCAGUCACGGGUAACGAGAAUUAGGUUCGAUUCCGGAGAGGGAGCCUGAGAAACGGCUACCACAUCUACGGAAGGCAGCAGGCGCGUAAAUUACCCAAUCCUGAUUCAGGGAGGUAGUGACAAGAAAUAACAACUCGGGGCCUCACGGCUUACGAGAUUGCAAUGAGAACAAUUUAAAUCUCUUAGCGAGGAACAAUUGGAGGGCAAGUCUGGUGCCAGCAGCCGCGGUAAUUCCAGCUCCAAUAGCGUAUAUUAAAGUUGUUGCAGUUAAAAAGCUCGUAGUUGAAUUUCUGAUUAUGGAUGUAGCGGUUUCCGUUACAUUUGUAGUCAUCCACAUGAGAACCUUUCUCGGCCUUCACUGGUCGGUUGGGGGAUCAUGUACUUUACUUUGAAAAAAUCAGAGUGUUUCAGGCAGGCGUUUGCAUGAAUACACAAGCAUGGAAUAAUGGAAUAGGACUAGGG